This 500-nucleotide ribosomal RNA is filed under the name uncultured bacterium. RNAcentral's name for it is "partial 16S ribosomal RNA". It matches the Rfam family "Bacterial small subunit ribosomal RNA", at positions 29 to 523 of the family's 1533-position model. The record is from RNAcentral.
AUUGAACGCUGGCGGCAUGCCUUACACAUGCAAGUCGAACGGCAGCACGGGAGCAAUCCUGGUGGCGAGUGGCGAACGGGUGAGUAAUACAUCGGAACGUGCCCAGUAGUGGGGGAUAGCCCGGCGAAAGCCGGAUUAAUACCGCAUGAGGCCUGAGGGUGAAAGCGGGGGAUCGCAAGACCUCGCGCUAUUGGAGCGGCCGAUGUCAGAUUAGCUAGUUGGUGGGGUAAAGGCCUACCAAGGCAACGAUCUGUAGUUGGUCUGAGAGGACGACCAGCCACACUGGGACUGAGACACGGCCCAGACUCCUACGGGAGGCAGCAGUGGGGAAUUUUGGACAAUGGGCGCAAGCCUGAUCCAGCAAUGCCGCGUGCAGGAAGAAGGCCUUCGGGUUGUAAACUGCUUUUGUCAGGGAAGAAAUCCUCUGGGUUAAUACCUCGGGGGGAUGACGGUACCUGAAGAAUAAGCACCGGCUAACUACGUGCCAGCCGCCGCCGUAA